UAAUUUUCUCACCAGUCUGGAGACCAAGAUGAAGCUGUCAGCAACGUUGGUUUCUUCUCUCCCUGGUUUACAGUUGGCCACCACCUUGCAUCUUCACAUGGUCAUCCCUCUGUCUGUUAUAUGUCUGUGCCCUAAUUUCUUUCUUUGUAGGACAACAGUCAUACAUGUCCCCAAGGACCCCAUUUUAACAUAAUCACCUCCUUAAAGAUCCUAUGUACAAAUACAGUUACAUUCUGAGGUGCGGGGAUUACGGCUUCAACAUACGAAUUGGGAGGCACACAACGAACCCAUAAGAAACCUUACUUUUAUAUCCCUAUGUACAACUCUGGGCUGACACAUCAAAAGUGCCCCCAAAGCGCUUCUGAGUCACUGAGUGAACGAAUGAACAGGUAUGUACUGUACAUGUUUUUCCAACCCGCAUAUAAGCUACUUGAGGACAAUGAAAGAGCACUAGCCUCGGGACUGGGGGACCUGGAUUAUUCUUCUUUGCUUUGUCAAUAUAGAAGGCGAUCUUUUUAGCAGCAACAUCAAAAGAUGCCCCUUUGGCACUUCCCUGGUGGUCCAGCAGCUUAAGACUCUGCGCUCCCAAUUCAGGGGGCUUAGAUUCAGUCCCUGGUCGGGGAACAGUUGCAUACUGCAGCUAAAGACUCUGCAUGCCACAGGAAGACUGAAGACCCCGCAUGCUGCACCUGAGACCUGACGCAGCUAAAUAAAUAAAAAAUAAAUAUUUAAAAAAUUAGCGAUAAAGAAAGAUGCCCCUUUACCUGGGGAUCUAACAUGCCUGUUCCACUCCUAAAGCAAUCAGAGAUUCAGAGCAUUCAUUAUUCACAAUGCCUAGAGCAUUUGCCAAAUUCAAGAUUUCUAUAAUUUCAACCUAAGAAAAUGCCAUCUGCUGCGCAGAAACUGAUUGUUGGCCACCCUUUAUGUGUUACAUUCUCUUCCAGUGAGAAACCACAUUUGCCUGAAGGGUGAGUGGUUCUUCCGGACCCGCUUAGUAAUCACUGGAGAAUCUAUUGUCUUAACUAGUGCAGCUUGAUAAGUCAUCAGUGUUGAUUUAAACAAAUGUUUCAGACACACUAAUUAUAGCAUUUUGGCCUUGGAAGGCACCUUAGAAAUCACGGGCCAUGAAACUUUAGACUCAAGUUUAAACCCUGCCUUCUUGGAUAAACUAAGUUUUUCUCAUCUGUCAAACAGGUGGAGUAACAUUUCACAGACUUAUUUGGAGUAUUGAAUAGGAUAACGAGUAUAUGAAUAUAUAGUGUCUUAUACCUAACAGGACAGAGUAACUCUUAAUAUUAGUUUUCUUCCCCUCUCCGUUUUACAGAUGGGUAAAUCAAGACCCAAAGGAGGAUAAAGCCCUAAGCAAAUCACCAGCUUUUUAAAAAUAUAUAAUUUUGGUUUUUAUUUAUUUUUGAUUGUGUUGGAUCUUUGUUGCUGCGAGGGCUUCUCUCUAGUUGUGGCAAACAGGGGCUGUUUUCAAGUUAUGGUGCUCAGGGUUCUCAUUGUGGUGGUUUAGAACCACAACCUCCUCAUUAGAUUUCCAGCUCCUUUCUAGUCCGGUCUCCUUUCUGACAUCAGAAUUCUCUUUCUAGAACAGAAAUCUGAUCCUGUCACUACUCUGCUCAAAAAUUCUGCAAGUUUCCUGAUUUGUACAGGAUGAAGUACUCUUAACCACAAAAAAAAGCAAAAAUAUAUUUUAAAAUGCAGGUACACAUCUGCCAGAUCAUAUAUAUAUGUGUGUGUGUAUAUAUAUAUAUAUAUAUACACACACAUAUAUAAUAUAUACUAAUAUAGUUUUCCAGGGCUGCUCUAACAGAUGCCAAAGACCGAGUGACUUAACAAAAGCUGAAAAUUCAAGAUCAAGGUGUUGGUUUCUCCUGAGGCCCCUCUCCUUGGUCUACAGAUGACUGCCUUCAAGCUGUGAUCUCCACAUGGUCCUUCCUCUGUGAGGUCAUGUUCCUACUGUUUCUUUUUGUGUCCAAAUGUCCUCUUACUAAAAGGACACAUGUUAGGAUUUCCCUAGUGGCCCAGUGGUGAAGAAUCCAUCUGCCAAAGUAGGCGAACACAGGUUCGCUUCUUGGUCCAGGAAGAUCCUACAUGCCGCAGAACAACCAAGCCUGGGUGCUGAACUACUGAGCCUGAGCUCUAGAGCCUGAGAGCCACAACUACUGAGCCCACAUGCUGCAGUUACUGAAGCCCAAGCACCCUAGAGCCUGUGCUUGGCAACAAGAGAAGUCACUGCAAUGAGAAGCCUGAGCGUCCCAACUAGACAAAGCCCAUGACAUGCAUCAGUGAAGACCCAGCACAGCAAAAAGAAAACUAAAAAAUGGGACACAUGUCAGAUCAGAUUAAGGUCCACUCUAACAGCCUAUUUUAACUUAAUCAUCUUUUUCUUUAUAAAUCACCUCUUUAAAGGCCCUAUUUCCAAUUCUAGUCACAUUCUGGGGUACU
RNAcentral lists this long non-coding RNA (2451 nucleotides) under Bos grunniens (domestic yak). RNAcentral's name for it is "lncRNA (ENSBGRG00000014133.1)". Lineage: Eukaryota; Metazoa; Chordata; Mammalia; Artiodactyla; Bovidae. The record is from RNAcentral.